Molecule: unclassified non-coding RNA, 433 nt
Filed under: soil metagenome
Description: partial contains 5.8S ribosomal RNA, internal transcribed spacer 2, and large subunit ribosomal RNA
Rfam family: 5.8S ribosomal RNA (bases 1-120)
Source: RNAcentral
GAUGAAGAACGCAGCGAAAUGCGAUACGUAAUGUGAAUUGCAGAAUUCAGUGAAUCAUCGAAUCUUUGAACGCAUAUUGCGCUCUCUGGUAUUCCGGAGAGCAUGCUUGUUUGAGUAUCAGUAAACACCUCAACUUCCAUAUCUUUUUUGAAAUGGGAGUUGGACUUGAGUGAUCCCAACGCUUUUCCUCACCGAAAAGUGGCGGGUUACUUGAAAUGCAGGUGCAGCUGGACUUUUCUCUGAGCUAUAAGCAUAUCUAUUUAGUCUGCCUAAAAAACAGAUUAUUACCUUUGCUGCAGCUAACAUAAAGGAGAUUAGUUCUGGUGCUGACUGAUGCAGGAUUCACAAAGACAGGCUUCGGCCGACUUUGUAAACUCGAUCUCAAAUCAAGUAAGACUACCCGCUGAACGUAAGCAUAUCAAUAAGCGGAGGA